RNAcentral lists this ribosomal RNA (466 nucleotides) under uncultured bacterium. Its description in RNAcentral is "partial 16S ribosomal RNA". It matches the Rfam family "Bacterial small subunit ribosomal RNA", at positions 28 to 507 of the family's 1533-position model. The record is from RNAcentral.
GACGAACGCUGGCGGCGUGCUUAACACAUGCAAGUCGAACGGAAAGGCCCUGCUUGCAGGGUACUCGAGUGGCGAACGGGUGAGUAACACGUGGGUGAUCUGCCCUGCACUUCGGGAUAAGCUUGGGAAACUGGGUCUAAUACCGGAUAGGAGCCAUCUUUAGUGUGGUGGUUGGAAAGUUUUUUCGGUGUAGGAUGAGCUCGCGGCCUAUCAGCUUGUUGGUGGGGUAAUGGCCUACCAAGGCGGCGACGGGUAGCCGGCCUGAGAGGGUGUACGGCCACAUUGGGACUGAGAUACGGCCCAGAAUCCUACGGGAGGCAGCAGUGGGGAAUAUUGCACAAUGGGCGCAAGCCUGAUGCAGCGACGCCGCGUGGGGGAUGAAGGCCUUCGGGUUGUAAACUCCUUUCGCUAGGGACGAAGCUUUGUUGUGACGGUACCUAGAUAAGAAGCACCGGCUAACUACGUG